Molecule: ribosomal RNA, 460 nt
Filed under: uncultured bacterium
Lineage: Bacteria
Description: bacterial SSU rRNA
Rfam family: Bacterial small subunit ribosomal RNA
Source: RNAcentral
GAUGAACGCUGGCGGCGUGCUUAAUACAUGCAAGUCGAACGAAUGGAUGUCUAGCUUGCUAGACUGAAGUUAGUGGCGAACGGGUGAGUAAUACAUAGGCAAUCUGCCCUGAAGUGUGGGAUAGCUAUUGGAAACGAUAAUUAAUACCGCAUAGGUAGUAAGAAGGCAUCUUCCUACUAUUAAAGAUGCGUCUGCAUCGCUGCAGGAUGAGCUUAUGGUGUAUUAGCUAGUUGGUGAGAUAAAAGCCCACCAAGGCUAUGAUACAUAGCUGGUCUGAGAGGAUGAACAGCCACAUUGGGACUGAGACACGGCCCAGACUCCUACGGGAGGCAGCAGUAAGGAAUUUUCGGCAAUGGGGGCAACCCUGACCGAGCAACGCCGCGUGAGUGAUGAAGGUCUUCGGAUCGUAAAACUCUGUUGUAAAGGAAGAAUGUCAUAUAUAGGAAAUGAUAUAUGAGUG